This 793-nucleotide ribosomal RNA is filed under the name uncultured bacterium. RNAcentral describes it as "bacterial SSU rRNA". It matches the Rfam family "Bacterial small subunit ribosomal RNA", at positions 8 to 798 of the family's 1533-position model. The record is from RNAcentral.
AGAGUUUGAUCAUGGCUCAGAUUGAACGCUGGCGGCAUGCCUUACACAUGCAAGUCGAACGGUAACAGGCCGCAAGGUGCUGACGAGUGGCGAACGGGUGAGUAAUGCAUCGGAACGUGCCCAGUAGUGGGGGAUAGCCCGGCGAAAGCCGGAUUAAUACCGCAUACGACCUGAGGGUGAAAGGGGGGGAUCGCAAGACCUCUCGCUAUUGGAGCGGCCGAUGUCAGAUUAGCUAGUUGGUGGGGUAAAGGCCUACCAAGGCAACGAUCUGUAGUUGGUCUGAGAGGACGACCAGCCACACUGGGACUGAGACACGGCCCAGACUCCUACGGGAGGCAGCAGUGGGGAAUUUUGGACAAUGGGCGCAAGCCUGAUCCAGCAAUGCCGCGUGCAGGAAGAAGGCCUUCGGGUUGUAAACUGCUUUUGUCAGGGAAGAAAUCUUCUGGGUUAAUACCUCGGGAGGAUGACGGUACCUGAAGAAUAAGCACCGGCUAACUACGUGCCAGCAGCCGCGGUAAUACGUAGGGUGCGAGCGUUAAUCGGAAUUACUGGGCGUAAAGCGUGCGCAGGCGGCUUUGCAAGACAGAGGUGAAAUCCCCGGGCUCAGCCUGGGAACUGCCUUUGUGACUGCAAGGCUAGAGUACGGCAGAGGGGGAUGGAAUUCCGCGUGUAGCAGUGAAAUGCGUAGAUAUGCGGAGGAACACCAAUGGCGAAGGCAAUCCCCUGGGCCUGUACUGACGCUCAUGCACGAAAGCGUGGGGAGCAAACAGGAUUAGAUACCCCGGUAGUCCAA